AACGAACGCUGGCGGCAGGCCUAACACAUGCAAGUCGAGCGAGGACUUCGGUCCUAGCGGCGGACGGGUGAGUAACGCGUGGGAACGUGCCCUUUGCUUCGGAAUAGCCCUGGGAAACUGGGAGUAAUACCGGAUGAGCCUUUUGGGGGGAAGAUUUAUCGGCGAAGGAUCGGCCCGCGUUGGAUUUGGUAGUGGGUGGGGUAAGGGCCUACCAAGCCGGCGAUCCAUAGCUGGUUUGAGAGGAUGAUCAGCCACACUGGGACUGAGACACGGCCCAGCCUCCUGCGGGAGGCAGCAGUGGGGAAUAUUAGGCAAUGGGCGAAACCAUGAUCUAGCCGUGCCGGGUGAGCGAUGAAGGGCUUAGGGUUGUAAAGCUCUUUCAGCUGGGAAGAUAAUGACGGUACCAGCAGAAGAAGCCCCGGCUAACUCCGU
Molecule: ribosomal RNA, 432 nt
Filed under: uncultured bacterium
Lineage: Bacteria
Description: partial 16S ribosomal RNA
Rfam family: Bacterial small subunit ribosomal RNA
Source: RNAcentral